GGGUGACAGGUGGUGCAUGGUUGUCGUCAGCUCGUGUCGUGAGAUGUUGGGUUAAGUCCCGCAACGAGCGCAACCCUCGACCUUAGUUGCCAGCAUUCAGUUGGGCACUCUAAGGUGACUGCCGGCUAAAAGUCGGAGGAAGGUGGGGAUGACGUCAAAUCAUCAUGCCCCUUAUGACCUGGGCUACACACGUGCUACAAUGGGCGGUACAAAGGGUCGCGAACCCGCGAGGGGGAGCCAAUCCCAAAAAGCCGCUCUCAGUUCGGAUUGCAGGCUGCAACUCGCCUGCAUGAAGCCGGAAUCGCUAGUAAUCGCGGAUCAGCAUGCCGCGGUCGAAUACGUUCCCGGGCCUU
RNAcentral lists this ribosomal RNA (353 nucleotides) under uncultured Anoxybacillus sp. Its description in RNAcentral is "bacterial SSU rRNA". It matches the Rfam family "Bacterial small subunit ribosomal RNA", at positions 1029 to 1382 of the family's 1533-position model. The record is from RNAcentral. Lineage: Bacteria; Bacillati; Bacillota; Bacilli; Caryophanales; Anoxybacillaceae.